Molecule: long non-coding RNA, 550 nt
Organism: Camponotus floridanus (Florida carpenter ant)
Lineage: Eukaryota; Metazoa; Arthropoda; Insecta; Hymenoptera; Formicidae
Exons: 3
Source: RefSeq, a predicted model, not a curated record
CAUACACAACCUGGAAAGAAGCAGAAAUUAUCAUUUGAUGAAGAAGAAUAUGAUGAUAUUUAAUUUUUGUAAUAGGAAAGGGCCGUACCUUGCCCGAGGAUGCGAUACCCUUAAUCAUGCACAUGUACACGAGAAUCCAAGCAAUGAUCAGCGCUAGAGCGAUCUUCCAAUUGAACACUUCCGGCGUAUCGAUAUCUUUGGAUAUCAUUAGGGUGGUUCGAUACCAGAAAUACUGUGUUGGACUGCUGACCUAUUGAUCGAUUAUCAAGUUACAUACAAACUUAUUAAUUUUUAUAUAAAUGCGACAAGAUGAAACAUUAAUUAUAAAUGGAUUCUUACCUGAACGAAAUAGAAGAGGCACCAGGCAAUAAUAGUAUUAUAAUAAAGAGCCACAUUGAAGGAGACUAUGGCGCUGCUGAUUCCGAUACCCCCCAUAUACGGGGAUACCUUUUCGCGCCUUUUCUCAAUCUUUGGCCGAUUGCCAAUUCCAAAUAAAAUAUAGGAAUACCCUCGAUGGCCAGCAUCACGAAAUAAGGAAUUAGAAAAGCAC